RNAcentral lists this transfer RNA (73 nucleotides) under Branchiostoma floridae (Florida lancelet). Its description in RNAcentral is "tRNA-Phe (GAA) (tRNA-Phe-GAA-4-1)". It matches the Rfam family "tRNA". From Rfam's summary of the family: Transfer RNA (tRNA) molecules are approximately 80 nucleotides in length. Their secondary structure includes four short double-helical elements and three loops (D, anti-codon, and T loops). RNAcentral also lists the same sequence under 3 other names. Lineage: Eukaryota; Metazoa; Chordata; Leptocardii; Amphioxiformes; Branchiostomatidae. The record is from Rfam by way of RNAcentral.
GCCGCGAUAGCUCAGUUGGGAGAGCGUUAGACUGAAGAUCUAAAGGUCCCUGGUUCAAUCCCGGGUCGUGGCA